Molecule: long non-coding RNA, 18851 nt
Filed under: Cicer arietinum (chickpea)
Lineage: Eukaryota; Viridiplantae; Streptophyta; Magnoliopsida; Fabales; Fabaceae
Description: long non-coding RNA (CARI_LNC003044)
Source: RNAcentral
UUCUGUUUAACUUUCAAUUCAGUCAUAAUCCCAAGAGCAUAAUCUAAUUGUUUAAUACAUUUCCCAAAAAGACUUUUUAGACUCAAAAUAGUUGCAAAUUACAUCAUAACUCAAUAGACUUUACAAAAAAUAGGUCAACGAUCAAAGAGGCCUACCAAAACAAAUAUGAUCAAAACUUGAAUCUACUAACAUAAGGGAAACACAAAAAGACACAAAGACUUGAGUUGUGAGCUUAAUACUCAGUUGCAUGCGAAUCUGAAAAAAUUAAACACCAUGAAGGGGUAAGUCACAAAGACUUAGUGAGGAGACAACAACAACCAUCAACUAGAAGGGAAACACAAAAAGGAACGAAUAACUUUUUUACAAUCUUGUGGCGAUUAUGUUAUACACAUAAUAAAAUCAUUAAACUUAUAAUUUAGUUGUUUAGAUAGAAAUAUUAAAAAUUCAAUUAAUAGCGAAGCGAAAUCAAAAUGAAUAAACUUAAAAUCAUCAUAAAAAUCAAACAAGUAAAAAUACAAAUUUUUGAGAACCAAGAGGUGGCUUCAUCUCAUUUAUAGCCCUUUCCUCCUAAGGGUGGCCUUUCCCUUAGGGGUAGCUCCAUCUAACGGAUAGCCCUCUCCUCUCAAUCCCGCAACGCAUCAUCACACAUCAAUCAGGGAGCUUACAUCUCGUUGAUAGCUCUCUCCUCCUAUGAAUGACAUUUUUCAUAGGGGCGGCUCCAUCUAACGGGUAACUCUCCUUAAUCAAAACGAGUUAACUAGGUGCACCUACUGCCAUUAACGAUUUCACAAUUUUAACAACGAUUUUCACAACACAUAUUUAAAACCCAUAAAUAAAUCAAACUACAAACAUAUCACAUAACAAAGACCAUAAAAAUAAUUAAGGAUAAAAUCGAGAAAAUAUCAAAGGUUGUGUUCCCCAAUUUUUUAAUAAAUAUUUUAAUAUAGAAAUUAUAGUAUUAUAAAAUAUAUGACAUGAUCGUCGUCUACUCACAACUAUGAAGAGUCGACUACGUUUGUUCUCCAACAACUCCCAGAAUAGCCGGCAGGACCUCAGCUAACAAAUCUGAGUAUCAAAAAUAUUCUCAAAACUUUAGAAAAAUUAUUCUAAAGUUUAGCUAAUUCUAAGAAACCAUAAAAAUCAUUUAAAUCUACUCUAGGCACAAAAUAAGAUUUUUAAACAAAACUACAUUUUUCUAGAGAUUCAUAUUAGCAUUAGAGUUGUGUAUUUAUUUCAAAUAGUCUCAAUAAAUAACUCUCAAGAAAUGCGUACCAUUCUCCUUCCUUAGAACACAAACCCUAACCAAAAAUCCUAAACAAGAGAAUUUGUAAGAGUAUGACAAAUUAUAUUCUUGAGGAUAUUAUAUUUAUUAUAAGGGUUGAAGGUUUACGUGUUGUAGAUGAGAAGAAACAAGGAGAAAAAAAGAAGAAAAAAAGACAAAAAAAAAAAAAAAUGGGAGAAGGGGUUGUCUUGGCCAAGAGAGAGAAGAAAGAGGAGAAGAAUGAGAGAGUGAGAUAGAGAGAGAAUGAGAGUGGAUGGUUGAUGUGUUUUAUUUAUUUAUUUAUUUAUUAUUAUUAUUAAUUAAUUAAUUAAUUACUAUUAUAUAUUUUUUUAAAUGACACGUGGCGUGUCAAAACCCUUAAGCCACGAGAACCUCAUUUAUGAGGUUUUUUUUUUUGAGUACCCUCUUUCUGAAAAAAAAAAUUCACAAAUGCCCGCUUUUGAAAACUAUAUACCUAAAUGCCCCCCUUUUUUUUUACUUACAAGUCGCCAUUUGGAAUGGCAACUUCCUUAAGGAAGCCCAAGUUCCAAAUGGCGACUUCCCACUUGAUUUUUUUUUAAAAAAAAAAUUCAAUUUUUUUUUUAAUUUUUAAUAGAUAACAUAAAUAUUAUAUAUAUAAUUAAUUAACAUAGAAAUUUUAAAUUAAAAAAUAUUUUACCAGAUGGAUUCCCCUCUUUAGCACUCACACAAUAAAUGCGUCCUCUAGCAGUAGGACGGGUAGCUCUAGCUACAUUCACAACUGGUUCCACCUUUGGAGCCGUGCAAUCCUUCGCCAUGUGUCCUGGAUUCUGACAAGUGUAGCAGGUGAGAGUGUUAGGGGUACAAGCGUUAGCAUAAUGUUCCUCUUCCCCACAACGGAAACAUCGGACCACUCGUCCCAGUUGUCUCCUGAAAUUCUGGUUCCCCGGGCGAUUCUUCCCACCGUUGUUAGUUCGUGGUCGAUCAUAGGGUUUAGCAACUUGUUUCCCCUUGUUGUUCUGGUAAUUCACCCGACUAGGCCCUCCUGUACCAAAAUUCCCUCCUCGGCUAGCUCUCUUAUUCUUCAUAUCCUCAACUUCCCUAAACUUUUCCACAAGGGCUUGGAAAUGUUGGAUUCCCAAGGGUAAGACGGAGUCUUGAAUCUCAUACUUCAGUCCGUCUUGGAAACGAUGACACAUGAAUGGUUCAUCAAUUUCUUCACGGAAGAACCUGAAAUGCCUCGAUAGCGAUUCAAGCUUAGCAGCAUAUUCGCCCACGGUCAUGCUCCUCUGGUGAAGUUUCAGAAAGUCGUCACCCAGUUUAGUCCUGGUACUCAUCGGGAAGUAUUUGUCUAAAAACUUCCUUUUAAAUGAUUCCCAGUUCACCUCCUCGUGGGCUGCUCCCAUCAAUAACCUUGCACUCCUCCACCAGUACUCAGCAUCCCCCAACAGCAUAUAAGUGGCAUAGCUGACCUUCACCCCCGCCUGACACUUUAUCAUAUCAAAGAUCUUCUCCACUUCUUGGAUCCAUUGAUCCGCCUUCUCUGAACCCUCAUCCCCUUUGAACUUAGGAGGAUUGUAACGACGGAAGUCUUCUAACCCUCUUGACUCUGCAGCACGGAUCUCUCUCCCCCUCUUUUCAAGACCCCGUUGAGUCUUGGCAGCAGUCUGUGCAGCCACAGAAGCAGCCAUGUUAUUCAUAGCCUCCGCCAUUUGAUCAUUCCUAUUAGCGUUGUCUCUCGGAGCGUCAUUCCUUCUUGGCGGCAUGGUUUCCUAUAAAACCAUCAUCAAGUAGAGUCUUAACACUACUUCAAAAUAUUCCCAAACUCACGUCCGACUAUAACAACACAUAAUAAUCAUAUUGGACUUGACAACUCAAGUCACCUAAACCGACACAUGAUCAGAUGACAACUCCCAACUUAAAGGUCGACCUACAAUCCUAGAAUCUAUAACCAAGGUUCCACAGCUCCCAAAGAAAACCAAACCAAAGCUCUGAUACCACAUUGUAACGCCCCGUUUUUCAAAAGAAAUUAAACUGAAACAGAGAAAUAAACAAAAAAAUGUCUUUGGAUAAAUAAUUGAGUCAUUAUAAUUUACAAGCAGCGGAAAAGUUUCUCCAAAUAUAAAUCCAAAGCAUUUACACAACAACAAAUGGUACAUGGGAUCCAUUCUUAAUAUGAUGUCAAACUGACAAUAUUAGUAUAGUACAGUUUUUCCAAAUCAAAAUAGACACCUAGUUCCUAUACAUCAUCCUAAUCUGAUCAUCCUACCAAAAAGCUAUACACCCUGAGUAUCUCCACGCGCCCCGUGAGAUCCUCCUAAUGUAACUGCAAUCACGCGUUCCCAUCUCCAUUCCCGUUCGUAGGGUACGAACCGGUAGGAUCGUCCUGACUCUCAUCUAAGGGCAAAGCCCAGAUUUCCACAAUAAUUGUAAAGGGUCACCAACUGAAAUUAACAGAUAACACAUAACAUUUAAGUUUUAAAUGCACAAAAUAACCUUUCAACUAAGCAUGCACCUUAAAAGGAUUUUCCAUAUGCUAAAAGUUCAUAUAAUGCUUGCCAAUUAACAAUGAACUCAAAAUGAAGUUCUCAAACCAUCAAGUAACAAUAAACUCAAAAUGAAGUUCUCAAACCAUCAAGUAAUACAUAACUGACCAAAGCAUUGAUAAAUCAAUUGAGCAAUCGAUUAUCUAACUCAAAAUAAGGACUUUUGUUGAGCCAAUCGAUUGCCAAAUCAAUUUGGUCAGUUCUGCUGAGUUUCUGCAUGACCAAAUCGAUUUCUAAGUCGAUUUUGUCAGUUCUGAUGAGUCCCUGUGUUGCCAAAUCGAUUUCCAAAUCGAUUUGGGCAGUUUUGCUGAGUUCCUGCCUCUCUGCCAAUCGAUUUCCAAAUCGAUUUCUUAAAAGAUUUUGAAAGACAUAUUUAUACAAUCGAUUGGCAAAUCGAUUAGGUCAAAAUGGUGAACUUCCUGCAACUCAUCCAAUCGAUUGGGAAAUCGAUUUCCCUCAUCAUUUUUCCAAAAAUUCAUAACUAACUCAAUCACAUUCAUACAUAAUCUCAAAUCCUAACACUUAGCACUGAUAACGCAAUCGCUACAACAUCAUUAGUUUCGAAAUAGUAUUGCAAGCAAACAUGUUAUCACCAAAUUCCAAAACAUAACACUUAACAUUUAUAACACAAUUAAUACAACAUCAUGGGUUUCAAAAUGGUAUAGCAAUCCAACAUGUUAUCACCAAAUUCCAAAACAUAACACUUAACAUUUAUAACACAAUCAAUACAACAUCAUGGGUUUCAAAAUGGUAUAGCAAUCCAACAUGUUAUCACCAAAUUCCAAAACAUAACACUUAUAACACAAUUACUACACAUACCAAAUGAACCAACAAUUCACAAUUUAACAGGGUGUAGUCUCUCACGGACAAACACCUGUGCAGUCUCUCACGGACAAACACAAUUCCCUCAGGAACGUAACUCGUAAACGUACCACCUAUCACGGGUCAGUACUGUUUACCGAGGUGCCACCUAUCCCGGGUCUGCACAACUUACCAAACGUAAAUCGUAAACGUACUGUCUAUCACGGACCCGUACCGUUUACCAAGGUGCCACCUAUCACGGGUCUGCACGAUUUACCAAAACAUACAUAAGUAAACGAGACAUUAAGAGAUUCCCCAUUCUUAAUUCUCAUCUAACUUAAACCAGGGCGUAGUCUCUCACGGACAAACCCCUGCGCAGUCUCUCACGGACAAACGCAAUUCCCGCAGGAACGUAAAUUGUAAACGUACUACCUAUCCCGGGUCCGUACUGUUUACCGAGGUGCCACCUAUCCCGGGUCAGCACAACUUACCAAAACAUACACGAGUAAACGAGACAUUAAGAGAUUCCCCAUUCUUAAUUCUCAUCUAACUUAAACCAGGGCGUAGUCUCUCACGGACAAACCCCUGCGCAGUCUCUCACGGACAAACGCAAUUCCCGCAGGAACGUAAGUCGUAAACGUACUACCUAUCACGGGUCCGUACCGUUUACCGAGGUGCCACCUAUCCCGGGUCUGCACAACUUACCAAACACAAUUCCCUCAGGAACGUAAGUCGUAAACGUACUACCUAUCACGGGUCCGUACUGUUUACCGAGGUGCCACCUAUCCCGGGUCUGCACAACUUACCAAACACAAUUCCCUCAGGAACGUAAGUCGUAAACGUACUACCUAUCACGGGUCCGUACCGUUUACCGAGGUGCCACCUAUCCCGGGUCAGCACAACUUACCAAAACAUACACGAGUAAACGAGACAUUAAGAGAUUCCCCAUUCUUAAUUCUCAUCUAACUUAAACCAGGGCGUAGUCUCUCACGGACAAACCCCUACGCAGUCUCUCACGGACAAACGCAAUUCCCGCAGGAACGUAAGUCGUAAACGUACUACCUAUCACGGGUCCGUACCGUUUACCGAGGUGCCACCUAUCCCGGGUCAGCACAACUUACCAAAACAUACACGAGUAAACAAGACAUUAAGAGAUUCCCCAUUCUUAACGCCCAGUUAACUUAAACAAUUUUCCAAACAAAAUAAUAAGUAACCGAGACAUUAAGAGAUUCCCCAUUCUUAACGCCCAGUUAACUUAAACGGUUUUCAAAACAAAAUGUUAAGUAACCGAGACAUUAAGAGAUUCCCCAUUCUUAACGCCCAGUUAACUUAAACAAUUUUCCAAACAAAAUAACAAGUAACCGAGACAUUAAGAGAUUCCCCAUUCUCAACGCCCAGUUAACUUAAACAAUUUUCAAAACAAAAUAAUAAGUAACCGAGACAUUAAGAGAUUCCCCAUUCUUAACGCCCAGUUAACUUAAACGAUUUUCAAAACAAAAUAUUAAGUAACCGAGACAUUAAGAGAUUCCCCAUUCUCAACGCCCAGUUAACUUAAACAAUUUUCCAAACAAAAUAAUAAGUAACCGAGACAUUAAGAGAUUCCCCAUUCUUAACGCCCAGUUAACUUAAACGAUUUUUCUUUAAAACAAAAUAUUAAGUAACCGAGACAUUAAGAGAUUCCCCAUUCUUAACGCCCAGUUAACUUAAACGAUUUUUCUUUAAAACAAAAUAUUAAGUAACCGAGACAUUAAGAGAUUCCCCAUUCUUAACGCCCAGUUAACUUAAACGAUUUUCAAAACAAAAUAUUAAGUAACCGAGACAUUAAGAGAUUCCCCAUUCUUAACGCCCAGUUAACUUAAACGAUUUUCAAAACAAAAUAUUAAGUAACCGAGACAUUAAGAGAUUCCCCAUUCUUAACGCCCAGUUAACUUAAACGAUUUUCAAAACAAAAUAUUAAGUAACCGAGACAUUAAGAGAUUCCCCAUUCUUAACGCCCAGUUAACUUAAACGAUUUUUCUUUAAAACAAAAUAUUAAGUAACCGAGACAUUAAGAGAUUCCCCAUUCUUAACGCCCAGUUAACUUAAACGAUUUUUCUUUAAAACAAAAUAUUAAGUAACCGAGACAUUAAGAGAUUCCCCAUUCUUAAUACUCAUUUAACUUAAUGGUUUUCAAAUUCCACACAAAAAAACUCAAACAAAUUCUCACAUUCAAUUCAUAAUUCACACCAAAACACAUCAAUCAACAAACAUCAAGUAUGAACAUGCCAAAUACGAUGAACACAAAUCAACAUAAUAAAUUUCAUUUAUUCAAAAUCUUACAUACAUGAGGUAAAAUCAUUUUUCCCAAAACAAUACUCCAAUCCUAACACAAUUCGUUUCCACACAACCACAGAUAAGGCCCUAGAUGCAAACUAAAAGUUUGGAAGGAGCCCUUACCUUAACGUUAGCUCAAACGUGCGUUUCCGGUACCGUGAGUAAAUCCGGUAAAUUUUCCGCUCGCAACACCGCUUCCAAAACUGGUCCACUAGCGCCGUAGCACGGUAGUGAGCAACUUUCCCUUCUAACUCUUCGCGAAAUGAAGCUUGGAUCUAGAAGAAACGAAGGGGUUUGUGUUUGAAUCUCAAAUACCGUUUUUCUUCGUUUUCGGAUCAAAGAGGAAGAGUGGAGUUGCGAAACCUUUGUUCUAACACUCACCCAACCUUGGGUUACUAGUCUUGAAGAAAAGAAAGCAACGAAAAUGAAAAUGGGAGAAGGAGGGAAAAUGGGUCGCGCACGCAGGGAGAGGAAGAAGAUGAAGUUUUGGAUUUUCUUUCCUUCCUUUUUCCUUUCUUUGUUUUUCCUUCCUUUCUAUUUCCUUCUUUCCUUUAUAUAACCUUUUCUCUUCCUUUUCCUUCCUUCUAAUUUUCUUUCUUUCUAUUCUCUCCAAACAGUUUAUGCAAAUCUACCUUAUGAUAUUUUCUCAUGUUCCUUGGAGGAUGUGGAAUUUCUUGAGGUAGUCCAAAUUGUAGUUUCACUCUAUUAGUUUGAUGCAUUUCUAUUAGGUAGAAACAAAUUAAAUAUGUAGAUGCAUUCCAUAGGCAAUUGUCUUCUGGAUGAUCGUAUGUUAGACCUAGAUAUGGCCUCCAAAUAAACUGAUAUAUAACAAGUUUGUUAGUAAUAUAUGCAUAAGAAAAGUAAAAUAAUAAAAAUAAUGUAAUGUUUUAAUAUAUUACAUCGUUAACGGUCAUGUGAUCAAUUUUUUAUAGAUAUCCAGCGGUAUGAUAACGAGGUGUAUCGCCAAAUUUCAUACCCUUUCCACUAUAUCUACGAAAAUAAAUUUGAAUGUUAGUAAAUAAAUUAAUAUAUUUAUAAAUAUAAUAUUUAACUUUUUUUUAUAUUAACCUUUUUGAGAAUGGAAAAUGAGGCUCAAAAUUACUUAUUGGUGCAAGAAACGGCAUAUGGUACCAUGCCCACGUUUGAAGUAGAUGUGAACAUCCCCGAUCGACAUAACACCGGGUUCAGAUGCACGACACAAUUCUCUAUAAAGUGUUGCCAAGCAUGCUGAACCCCAACUAUAUUGUCCUGUCUCUCGCAAAUCUCUCAACAAGUGCAACCACAUAAUAUGUACUCUGUUGUGAGAUUUGUAAGGCAUUAAUAUGCCGCCAAUCAAUUCUAAAAUGCAUGCUCUACAAUGUGACUUAGAGUUUCUGAGUUUUAUUAUUAUGUAUUUUCUUCAAAGAACACUUACAGGUUUUCUCUGUAUUUCUAGUUUAAGGCUUGGAUACUCAUUAUGGUUUGUUUAAGGUGUUCUGGCUUGGAUACUCACAAUUUUUUUUCAACUGUGAUUAAAAUUUAAUUUUAAUUACAUUGCAUCUAAUCUUAAUAAUUUGGUUUCUAAUUUAAAAUGUAUUCUAUGUGCAGGUUUAUGGCUGAAAUUAAUUUUAUUUGUGAGUUGAAGUGAUAUGGAGUACCAUUGAAGGCUUAAAUCUUGUUAUGUUGAUUUAUGGUCUCAUAAAUUAAUUUUACAUCUUUUUGAUUAUUAAACUCCAAAAUAUUAUUAACUUUGGCUUAAAAACCUCCGAGCCAAAAUCCAAAAUACACCAAAAAUACAUAAAUGGUACUUUAAAAUUAUGGGUCUUACAUUACUCCCCCCCUAAAAUUAGUUUCGUCCUCGAAACUAUGCAUCGAUAAAUAACUCUGGGUGUUGUUCUCUCAUCUUGCUCUCCAAUUCCCAAGUCGCAUCUCCAGUGAUUGGGUUCCAAAUAACCUUGACCAACGAAACAUCCUUGGUCCUCAACCGCUUAAUCUUCCUAUCAUCAAUUCUCACGGGUGGUACUUCGAACGACAGGUUAUCCUUUAGCUGGAUUGCGUCUGGUUCGAUCACGUGAGAUGGAUCUGCGAGAUAUUUCCUCAACUGUGACACAUGAAACACGUCAUGAAUAUUGGACAGUAUCGGAGGUAAUGCAAUGCGAUAAGCCACCGGCCCAAUUCGUGCAGAAAUCUGAUAUGGUCCAAUGAAUUUCGGAGUCAACUUCUUCGAUUUCAAGGCUCUACCUACUCCAGUAGUAGGUGUGACUCUCAGAAAUACAUGGUCACCCUGUUCGAAUUCCAAAAGUCUGCGACGCUUGUCCACGUAACUCUUCUGACGAUCUUGUGAAGUCUUCAUUUUCUCCUUGAUCUUCCUUACUUUAAUUGUGGUAUGUUGCACCAUCUCUGGUCCGACAAUCAUAUUCUCACCGUCUUUAUACCAACACAAGGGCGUUUGACACUUGCGCCCAUAUAAAGCUUCAUAUGGUGCCAUUCCAAUACUUGCGUGGAAACUAUUGUUGUAAGUGAACUCAAUCAACGGAAGUACAUCAUCCCAGCUUCCCCUAUCAUCUAAUACACAUGCUCUCAACAGAUCUUCCAAGGACUGAUUCGUCCUUUCAGUCUGUCCGUCCGUUUGUGGAUGGUAAGCUGAACUCAAUCGUAGCUUCGUUCCCAACGCUUCGUGCAAUGCUCCCCAAAAAUGCGAUGUGAACUUCGGAUCACGGUCUGAUACAAUGCUCGAUGGUACCCCGUGUAACCUCACAAUUUCAGCAAUGUAGAUCUCCGUUAGCUGAUCUACCUUAUAGGUGGUCCUUACCGGCAAAAAGUGAGCAGAUUUAGUCAGCCGGUCCACUAUCACCCAUAUAGAAUCAUUCUUCCUCCUUGUCUUCGGUAAUCCGGUUAUAAAAUCCAUGGAAAUGCUGUCCCACUUCCAUUCAGGUAUAUCUAAAGGUUGCAACAUUCCAGCAGGUCGCUGAUGUUCCACCUUCGCUUUCUGACAAGUUAGACAAGUGGAUACAUAUUCCGCCACAUGUUUCUUCAUUCCUGGCCACCAAUAAUUCUGCCUCAAAUCCUGAUACAUCUUUGUUGCUCCAGGAUGAAUACUCAGCUUACUCUUAUGCGCCUCUUCUAAAAUCGUUUUCCGCAUAUCUGUAAUGGCUGGUACACAAAUCCUACCAUUACACCGCAAAACAUUAUCUGCCCCAAUCUUGAACUCAGUCGUCUUCCCUUGUACUAUUAGAUUCCUCUUCUCUUGAAUUAAGACGUCAUCCUGAGAAUUCGCAAUGUCUUCAAGUAAUCCACUCGAGAUCUUAAUCAUUCCGAAUUUCAAAAUUCCCGGUCCGAACUCUACGUUCAAGUGUAGGUCUCUAAAAGCCUCCUGGUUCGGGGAAAAGAACCAAUUUCCGAGCACAAUCCAAGAUCACAUAGUGAUAAGACAUCCAAUCCAUACCGAGGAUGACCUCGAGUGAUUGUAGCGGUAAACAAAUUAGAUUAACCAAGAAAUCCCUAUUCUGAAUAGUCAUUCGACAAUGUAAACAUGCUGAAUUUACGGUUAAGGUCUUAGCAGGCGUGGAAACAACCAAAUCAAAAGGUAAAGCAGACACAGAUAACUUCAAGCGAUUCACACAGUCCAUAGCAAUGAAGGAAUGGGUUGCCCCCGAAUCAAAGAGUGCAGUUAGAGUGUUACCUGCAAUCUCACAAUCACGCUGAAUCAGAUUACCAGAUGGAUUUCCCUCUUCAGCAUUCACACAAUAAAUGCGUCCUCUAGCAGUAGGACGGGUAGCCCUAGCUACAUUCACCACUGGUUCCACCUUUGGAGCCGUGCACUCCCUUGCCAUGUGCCCCGACUUCUGACAAUUGUGACAGAUGGGGAUGUUAGUGGUACAAGCACUAGCAUAGUGUCCUUCUUUCCCACAUCGGAAACAUCGAAGCACUUGCCCCAUUUGCCUUCCGAAAUUCUGGUUCCCUGGGCGACUCGGUCCACCGUUGUUAUUCUGGGGGCGAUUAUAAGGUUUAGCCACUUGUUUUCCCCUAUUCUGAUAAGUCGCCCGACUAGGGCCUCCCGAAUUAAAAUUCCCAACUCGGCUAGCCCUCUUGUUCUUCAUAUCUUCCACUUCUCUACAUUUCUCUACCAGCGCUUGGAAACGUUGAAUUCCCAAAGGUAAGACGGAAUCUUGAAUCUCAUACUUCAAUCCGUCUUGGAAACGAUGACACAUGAACGGUUCAUCAAUUUCUUCACGGAAGAACCUGAAAUGCCUCGAUAGUGAUUCAAAUUUAGCAGCAUACUCGCCCACAGUCAGGCUCCCCUGGUGAAGUUUCAGAAAGUCGUCACCCAACUUAGUCCUGGUACUCAUCGGAAAGUAUUUGUCUAAAAACUUUCUUUUGAACGAUUCCCAGUUCACCUCCUCGUGGGCUGCUCCCAUCAACAACCUUGCACUCCUCCACCAGUAUUCAGCAUCCCCUAGCAACAUAUACGUGGCAUAGCUGACCUUCACUCCAGCCUGGCAGUUAAUCAUAUCAAAGAUUUUCUCCACUUCUUGGAUCCAUUGAUCCGCCUUCUCUGAACCCUCAUCCCCCUUGAACUUAGGAGGAUUGUAACGACGGAAGUCUUCCAACCCUCUUGAUUCUGCAGCACGGAUCUCUCUUCCCCUCUUUUCAAGAUCCCGUUGAGUCUUGGCAGCGGUCUGUGCAGCGACAGAAGCAGCCAUGUUGUUCAUAGCCUCCGCCAUUUGGUCAUUCCUAGCGUUGGCUCUCGGAGCGUCAUUCCUUCUGGGCGGCAUGGUUUCCUAUAAGAACCAUCAUCAAGUAGAGUUUUAACACUACUUCAAAUAAUUCUAAACUAACGUCCGACUAACAACACACAAUUAAAUUGGACUUGACAACUCAAGUCACCUAAACCGACACAUGAUCAGAUAACAACUCCUAACUUAUAGGUCGACCUACAAUCUAUAACCAAGGUUCCACAGCUCCCAAAGAAAACUAAACCUAUGCUCUGAUACCACAAUGUAACACCCCGUUUUUCAAAGCGAGGGUAUAUUUUUUUUUUUCUAAAAGUAAUUAAAACGAACAAAGAAUAAAUCAGGAAAUGCUUUUGGAUAAAUAAUUGAGUCAUUAUAAUUUACGCAGCGGAAAAGUUUCUCCAAUUAUAAAUCCAAAACAUUUUUACAUAAACAUCAAAUGGUACAUGGGACCCAUUCAAAGAUGAUAUAAAACUGAUAAUAUUUGUAUAAGUACAGUUUUCCAAAACUAAAAUACUCCAAACCAAAAAGAAGGACCCCUAGUCCCUAUACAUCAUCCUAAUCUGAUCAUCCUACCAAAAACUAUACACCCUGAGUAAUCUCCACGCGCCCCGUGAGAUCCUCCUAACACAACAGCAGUCAAGCGUUCCCAUCUCCAUCCCUGUCCGUAGGGUACGAACCAGUAGGGCCGUCCUGACUCUCAUCUGAGGGCAAAGCCCAGAUUUCCACAAUAGUGUAAAGGGUCACCAACCAGAAAAUAACAGUUAACACAUAGCAAUUAAGUUUUUGAAUGCUCAAAACAACUUUUUAACUAAGCAUGCACCUUAACAGGAUUUUCAAUGUGCGAAAAGUUCAUACAUUACAUUGCCAAUGAAAAUGAAGGUAAAAUGCAGUUCUCGAUCUCCUAAUUAACACAUGGUAAAACAAAACAUGGAUAGAUUCAUGAGCAAUUAAUCAUACAACUAAAAAUGAGGAUUUUCACUGAGCCAAUCGAUUGGGCAAUCGAUUGGGGUGAAGAUUUUUAAUGAAAACAGAAUCCUGGGCUGAAUUCAAUCGAUUGGUAAAUCGAUUGAUUGGUUCCUGAGCCCCUGGUUUCGAGCCAAUCGAUUUCCUAAUCGAUUUGGUGAGGGAUUCUUAAUGAAAACAGAAUCCUGGGCUGAAUUCAAUCGAUUGGUAAAUCGAUUGAUUGGUUCCUGAGCCCCUGACUUAAGGCCUAAUCGAUUGGGCAAUCGAUUUCUUAACUGAUUCCUUUGAAAAUUGUUUUCGAAAUCGAUUGGCUAAUCGAUUUUGUUCAUUUGGCCAAGCCCCUGACUUCCAUCCAAUCGAUUGGGAAAUCGAUUUCCCUGAUCAGUUUUCCAAAAAUUCAUGAAUUAACCUAAGUCAUUCCUAAUCAAGUUCACCACUUAACACUUAGCAAUUUCUACGCGAUUACUACGACACACAAAGGUUCGAUAACCAUCAUACUCACACACAAUACACAACACAUAGCACUUAACACCUUCAUCUCAGUUAUCACGAUAAAUCAAAAUUCGAAUCACUCAAUCAUAAACUCAAAUCAAACAUGACUCGCGUGCCAGGCACCCUAAUGCAAUGCGUAUAUGCCAAAAUGCAUGGACUCGGAAUUCCAAACCAAAACCCUCCUCGAAGGGCCGUAAAUCAUAAUUGUACCGCCUAUCGCAGGCCAAAGUACCAAUUACCGAGGUGCCACCUAUCACGGGUCAGCACGAUUUACUAAAAUGCGUAAAUCAUAAACGUACCACCUAUCACGGGUCAGUACAGUUUACCGAGGUGUCACCUAUCACGGGUCAACACGAUUUACUAAAAGAAAAAGCGGGAAUCGUAAAUGUACCACCUAUCACGGGUCAGUACAGUUACCAUGGUGUCACCUAUCACGGGUCAACACGAUUUACUAAAAGAAAAAGCGGGAAUCGUAAAUGUACCACCUAUCACGGGUCAGUACAGUUUACCAAGGUGUCACCUAUCACGGGUCAACACGAUUUACUAAAAUGUAAAUCGCAAACGUACAACCUAUCACGGGUCCGUACAGUUUACCAAGGUGUCACCUAUCACGGGUCAACACGAUUUACUAAAAUGUAAAUCGCAAACGUACAACCUAUCACGGGUCCGUACAGUUUACCAAGGUGUCACCUAUCACGGGUCGACACAAUUUACCAAAUGAAAUGCAUGAGCAUACACAGACUCCAUUCACAACAAUCGUUAAGCAAAUGCAGAUAUUAAAAGAUUCCCCAUUUUUAAUACCCAUUUAACUUAAACGACUUUCAAACAACAUUAAUUAAAUAAGUCAUUAAGAGAUUCCCCGUUCUUAAUACCGAUUUAUCUUAAUGAUUUUCAAAACAAAACGUUAAGCAAACAGUCAUAUUAAGAGAUUCCCCAUUCUUAAUAUACUUUUGACUUAAACGAUUUUCACACAAAAUAUUCAGUAAACGAGUCAUUAAGAGAUUCCCCAUUCUUAACACUCAUUUACCGGAACGAUUUUCAAAAACGAUCGUUAAGUAACCGGGACAUUAAGAGAUUCCCCAUUCUCAACGCCCAGUUAACUUAAACCUUUUCCUCAAAUGCACAUUAAGUAAACCGAGGUAUUAAAAGAUUCCCCAUUUUUAAUACUCGUUUAACUCUAAUGGUUUUCAAAUUCCACGGAAACAAACUCAAACAUACUCUCACAUUCAAACCAUAAUUCACAACAACCACACCAAUUAACAAACAUCAAGUAUGGACACGCCAAAUACAACGAACACAAAUCAAAGCCAACAUAACACCCAGAUACAUCAAAUUUCAUUUACCCAUAAUCAUACACAAUGACAUUCAAAUUCAUUUACCACGAAACAUUCAUCACUAUAAACAAAACCUAACUCUAAGGUUUUUACCCAUAACGCACUAGUUUCGUUUUUCCCCAAAUCGAUACAUUUAACCCUAACAAAUUCCUUCCCACACAACCACAGAUAAGUCCCUAAUGCAACUAGAAGUUUGGAAGGUGCCCUUACCUCAAUGUUAGCUUUAUCGUGCGUUUCCGGUACCGCGAGUAAUUCCGGUAAAAUCUCCGCUCGCAACGCCGCUUCCAAAUUAGUUCCCUAGCACCGUAGCGUGGUGGUGAGCAACUUUCCCUUCUAUCUCUUCGAGAAAUGAGGUUUGGAUCUAGGAGAAACGGAGGGGUUUGUGUUUGGAUCUCAAAAACCGUUUUUCUUCGUUUUCGAAUCAAAGAGGAAGAGUGGAGUUGCGAAAACCUUGAUCUAACUCUCACCCAACCUUGGGUUACUAGUUUUGAAGAAAAGAAAGCGACGAAAAUGAAAACGGGAGAAAGUAGAAAAAUAGGUCACGGUUAGAGGAAGAAGAUGGAAUUUUUCGUUUUCCUUCCUUUCUUUUUCUUUCCUUUGUUUUUCCUUUCUUCCUUUUUCCUUCCUUCCUUUUAUACUAUUUUCUUUUCCUUUUCCUUCCUUCUAGUUUUCCUUUCUUCUAGUUUUCCUUUCUUUUUCCCUCCAAACAAACAUAAAUAGAUAAUAAAUAUAACUUAACAAAUAUCUCAAAAUACCUAGACAUUUGUUAAAUUACCGUUUCACCCGAAACGCAUUAAAUUCUCCGUAAAGGAUUCACCGCACUUAAUUUAAAUUUAUUUAUCGACGAGAAAUUUUAAUUGGCAUCAAAACAUCUUUUUGAUUAUUAAACUCCAAAAUAUUAUUAACUUUGGCUUAAAAACCUCCGAGCCAAAAUCCAAAAUACACCAAAAACACAUAAAUGGUACUUUAAAAUUAUGGGUCUUACAGCCUACAUCAGGUCUAUGUCAGAUCAGGCUUUCUUUUUAAACAGAGAAGGUCAAGGCUUCUAAAAAAGCCUAUUUAAUUAAAAAGGUUUGGCUAUAGGCCACAUAAUAAACCUUUUACGCCGACCUAUUUAAAUAAAUAUAAAUAAUAUUUUUUUACCACUAUGAUUAUUAUAUUAAAUUUUGAUAUUUGUGUUAUAUAUAUUCAACUUUUAGUAAUUUACACAUAUUAACCUUAUUUAGUUUUUGGCAUAUUUAAAUGUAUUAUUAUAAAAUAUAAUUUAAGCAGGAUGUAUAUAUAGUCACAUUCUUCAAAAUGUGAUGUUAAAUAUCAAAAUAGAACUUAAUUUCAUUGACAUAUUAACUCAUUAAUCUAUUUAAAUAUAUGUUUGAUUACUUAUUCAAAAAUAUUAAAAUGAAAUAAGCAUUUAAGUAGGCUAAGAGACCAUAUCAGACUUCUAUCAAGGUCAGACUAAGGCCUAAAAAGUAAGCCUAUGACAGGACACACGCCAAGCGUAGGGCUUGAAUUUUUUGACAUGUCAGGCUUAUGCUUAGCAAAGCCUAACUCGACCCAGCCUAUUCCCACCCCUACUUGUACUAGUUCCAGUGAAGAGGCCAUAGAGCAAAAGCUUAAGCCAUUAUCCUUUCUCAUUUCAAAGUUAUUAUUUGGGAGGGGAGAAGCUCUCAACCAUGAUUCAUAUGAAAAAAUCUUUUUCUUCAAUCACUUCAAAACCUUCCCCAUCAUUUGUCACAGUUUCAUCACAGUCCCGGAGUUGGUGCCCAAUUCUCCCACAUAAAAAAAUCAGAAAUUGGGUCUGAUGUUUAGGUCUGAAGACUAGGUCUAAAGAUUGCCUCUAAAGAAUGGCUCUAAAACUGAGUCUAAAAACUGCCUCUGAAGAUUGAAUUUAAAGCAUGCCUCUAAAGCUCUUGCAUAUCUCUGAUGUACACAAACUUAGCAUAUACCUAAAGAGUUCAUAUCAAGGUAUAAUUAACUCUGAAGAUAUUAUUCAAAUCAUAAAGUCAAAGUUCACAAUCCGCUGAUCAAAAUGGUGCAACACACUCCAAAUGCUGCCUCUGAUAAGCAGCCUCUAAUGUUGCACCGACUCUGAAGUUUCAACAAGGUGAUUUUCCUAAUGUCACUAACUCUAAGUCAUGCAAUUCUACCUUUGAGUAUCUUUAUUCAAGAAACACGACAUCUAACUCAAACAAGAGAGUCAGUGCCUAUGCUGAAAAGUCAACGACUGAAAUUGAAAUAAUUAAGUAUGAAAAAAAAAAAUUAGCCGACUCCAAAACUUGUGAAUAUCCAAGAACAACCCGAAUCCAUUUCAGCUCAAAUCAAGAAAGAGUAUGAAAGAAGACUCGUGUUUUGAAAGACAAUCUAAAAUAAUAUUUGAUUUAGAUUUAUAAUUGAAGAAAAUAUUUGACCAAGUUGAAAAGAAUAUAUGAUAAAGAUUUGAAGAUGAUAUGAUUCAUAUCUUAUCAACAAAAGAUAUGAAUUAUUUACAAGAACAUUUGAUCAAGAUUUAUCACAAGAAGAUAUGAAUUAUUUAAAAGAAGAUCUGAUCAAGAUUUAUCACAAGAAGAUAUAAAUUAUUUACAGUAAUAUUUUAUCAAAAUUUAUCUACAAGAAGAUAUGAAUUAUUUACAAGAAGAUUUGAUCAAGAUUUAUCUACUAGAAGAUAUGAAUUAUUUACAAGAAGAGUUUAUCAUAAUCUACAAGAAUAUUUGAAUUAUUUACAAGAAGAUAUGAUCAAAAAUUAUUUAGAAAAAGAAACACUCAUAUAUAUUUGGCUUAAUUGCAGUUUUGGUCCCCCUAUUUUAGCUAAAUCGCGAAAGUAGUCCCUCCAUUUUGUUUCUCCCCAGUUUUGGUCCCCCAAACAGAAUUUUGGUCCAAAACUUGAUGAAAUUUCAUUUUUUUAAAGCCGUACUAUAUCAUUUAUGAUCAUAGAUAUCAUAUACAAUUGUUGCAAAUGAGAUCUUGAGGCAUGGUGUGACUUAAAUAAAUACAAAAAAAAAAUGAAAUUUCAUCAAAUUUUGGACCAAAAUUAUGUUUGAGGGACCAAAACUGGGGAGAAAUAAAAUGGGGGGACUACUUUCGCGAUUUAGCUAAAAUAGGGGGGACCAAAACUGCAAUUAAGCCUAUAUAUUUUUAUUAUUUGCAAAGAUAUGAUUCAAAUUUUGCAAAGACGGAUGAAAACCUCUAACUUAUUUUAUAAAUAGAUACACAAGGCUGAAGAACAAAAUAAGAUAACUUACGAGCACAAAAUUUACUAAGUCAUUAGAGUUCAUAAAGUUAAGAUCUAGAGAAACAUUUGCUCAAAAGAUAUAUUUUCUAAGUGUUUUCUAGUGUGAGAGUAAUUGUUACAACCAACUUGUUAGAAGCAAACAAAUUUGUUCCCAACUCUUGUAACCAUGUCUGAAUUUUGUGUUCCUCGAGAAAUUUGUAGAUUUUCAAGUUGUGAUGAGAAAAUUUGGUUUGUAGAAUCAAAGUGUUUGUUUUUCGUAGGUGACAAAUUAUUUUGAGAAUAUUGAUUUGUAGAGUCAGGUGUUGUGUAAUUCAAGUUUUGAAUUAGUGGAUUAAAUCAUGAAAGGACUAAACGUAGCUACUAAAUUGGUGGUGAAUCAGGAUAAAUUAUUGUAUCACUUUAAUUAUGUAAUUUUUGUUUUAUUUUUGUCUCUCAUCACUUAACUCAAUUGCUACUACUUUUAUUUUAAGUCACCAAACUCGAGUCAAUUUUAAAUAAAUUAACAAAAACAAUCAAACUUAGUCAAAACCAAUUCAAUUCUCUUUUCAUAUUUGCAGCUUUAGUAACCUUUGGAUCUGCUGCCUCAAAUUCUCCCAUGAUUGCCCCCAGUUUUUUUGCCAUGAACUCACUACGGAGUUUCAAGGGAAGGUCGCACACUCUUGUCCAGAAUGAGAUCGAACUCGUAUCCAUUUCAGACUACGAUGUUACGAUCAAAACUCCAUGGACCAGCCUUAAUCACAUUUUCUAAAUCUCGUAUUGAAAAAAAAACAAAAGAGAUACAGGUUCUUACCGAGUUCCUGAGUCUCUAUUAGGUUCUUAGGUCUCCAAAAUUCCACAAUCUUAGUUUUGAAAUCUCAGACAUUAUAACUGCUGUUAGUCCACAACUUUCCAACAGGGGAUCUUCUAAAGAAAUCCUCUUCCAUAUGUUCUUCAUCUUCCUCUGUAACCCCAAUCACGCCAUCUUCGAACCUAACAGCUUAAGACUCUUACGAAGACAAAAUUCAAAAUCCUGGAGAGCGCAGGGAGCUUCCAGGAUGAAACCUAGGGUAAGAUCCAAGAAAGGAAGUCUUUUUUAAUGUUGACUCUUGUUCAUUUAUAUAGCUUAUAUUUAAUUGCAAGUGAUAUCUUAAGUUUUUAGACUGUAACUAUCAUAUUGGUUAUUUGUACAUAGCUCUUUAUUUUCUAAUUUAUGGUGCCGUAUUUCAAAUUAGUAAGAAA